CUUACCAUUCAUGCUAUACAUUUAUAUAUCCCUUAUGUCAAAUACAGAAGGGGAAAUAACUCUCAUAUGGAGUUUACGUAUCGCUUCGGUCAAAAUUGGACAAAACAUCCUGAGGAUAUAACGAGCAAUUUGGUAAAAUAAAUUUGUCCAUUUCUUUUACGGUUACGGAGGAGAUGCACGCACAAGGGAAACAGUGUUCGGGGAGAUAACUCCUACAAAGAAAAGUAUUCAGUUAACCAGGGUCAAUUUCAAAGGCGCAUAAACUGUUCGAUAUCAUAUACGAAACAUCUAAGCGACAUCUUGCGAAACAAAAAUUUAUCGCAAGAACAAAAUUUGGCGGAAGAAAAAAAAAAAUAAUCAGAAGAAAACCAAUAGGUCUUUCCACCGAAAAGUGGAAAGACCUAAUAAUAAUAAUCAGAACAAAUACAAUAGGUCUUUCCACAGAAAAGUGGAAAGACCUAAUAAUCAGAACAAA
This is a long non-coding RNA of Mytilus californianus (California mussel), 475 nucleotides long. RefSeq lists it as uncharacterized. Lineage: Eukaryota; Metazoa; Mollusca; Bivalvia; Mytilida; Mytilidae. The record is from RefSeq and is a predicted model, not a curated record. The transcript has 2 exons.